GUUUGAUCCUGGCUCAGGAUUAACGCUGGCGGCGUGCAUAACACAUGCAAGUCGAACGAUGAAACUUUACUGACUUCUUCGGAAAGAUUUAAAGCGGAUUAGUGGCGGACGGGUGAGUAACGCGUGAGUAACCUGUCUUACACAAGGGGAUAGCCGUUGGAAACGACGAAUAAUACCCUAUAAAACUAUCACUUCGCAUGAAGCGAUAGUCAAAGUGUUAGCGGUGUAAGAUGGACUUGCGUCUGAUUAGCUAGUUGGUGAGAAAAAAGCCCACCAAGGCAACGAUCAGUAGCCGGCUUGAGAGAGUGUACGGCCACAUUGGGACUGAGACACGGCCCAGACUCCUACGGGAGGCAGCAGUGGGGAAUUUUGCACAAUGGGGGGAACCCUGAUGCAGCGACGCCGCGUGAUUUAGAAGGCCUUCGGGUUGUAAAAAUCUUUUGUAUAGGAAGAAAAUGACAGUACUAUACGAAUAAGGUCCGGCUAAUUACGUGCCAGCAGCCGCGGUAAUACGUAAGGACCGAGCGUUGUCCGGAAUCAUUGGGCGUAAAGGGUACGUAGGCGGGUCAUUAAGUUAGAAGUCAAAGGCUAUAGCUCAACUAUAGUAAGCUUCUAAAACUGGAGACCUUGAGUAAUGGAAGGGAAAGUGGAAUUCCUAGUGUAGCGGUGGAAUGCGCAGAUAUUAGGAGGAAUACCGGUGGCGAAGGCGACUUUCUGGCCAUUAACUGACGCUGAGGUACGAAAGCGUGGGUAGCAAACAGGAUUAGAUACCCUGGUAGUCCACGCCGUAAACGAUGAGUGUUAGGUGUCUGGAGUAAAUCUGGGUGCCGCAGCUAACGCAUUAAACACUCCGCCUGGGGAGUACGCACGCAAGUGUGAAACUCAAAGGAAUUGACGGGGACCC
This 904-nucleotide ribosomal RNA is filed under the name uncultured bacterium. RNAcentral's name for it is "bacterial SSU rRNA". It matches the Rfam family "Bacterial small subunit ribosomal RNA", at positions 11 to 922 of the family's 1533-position model. The record is from RNAcentral.